GGAGACGUGGCUGAGUGGCCGAAAGCAGCCGCCUGCUAAGCGGUUGAGGGGAUAACACUCCUCCGGAGGUUCGAAUCCUCCCGUCUCCGCCA
RNAcentral lists this transfer RNA (92 nucleotides) under Actinomycetes bacterium. RNAcentral describes it as "Actinobacteria bacterium tRNA-Ser". It matches the Rfam family "tRNA". From Rfam's summary of the family: Transfer RNA (tRNA) molecules are approximately 80 nucleotides in length. Their secondary structure includes four short double-helical elements and three loops (D, anti-codon, and T loops). Lineage: Bacteria; Bacillati; Actinomycetota; Actinomycetes. The record is from RNAcentral. RNAcentral also lists the same sequence under 1 other name.